CAUCUGUGAGCAGGAACAAACAGGGAUUGCCUCAGUAACGGCGAGUGAAGCGGCAAAAGCUCAAAUUUGAAAUCUGGCCUUCUCAGGGUCCGAGUUGUAAUUUGUAGAAGAUGCUUCGGGUGUGGUUCCGGUCUAAGUUCCUUGGAACAGGACGUCAUAGAGGGUGAGAAUCCCGUAUGUGACUGGGUACCUACGCUCAUGUGAAGCUCUUUCGACGAGUCGAGUUGUUUGGGAAUGCAGCUCUAAAUGGGUGGUAUAUUUCAUCUAAAGCUAAAUAUUGGCCAGAGACCGAUAGCGCACAAGUAGAGUGAUCGAAAGAUGAAAAGCACUUUGGAAAGAGAGUUAAACAGUACGUGAAAUUGUUGAAAGGGAAGCGCUUGCAAUCAGACUUGCACCUGGUGUUCAGCGGGGUUUCGUGCCCCGUGUACUUCAUCAGGUUCAGGCCAGCAUCGGUUUGGGUGGUUAGAUAAAGGCCUUGAGAAUGUGGCCCUCUUCGGGGGGUGUUAUAGCUCUCGGUGCAAUGUAGCCUACCUGGACCGAGGACCGCGCUUCGGCUAGGAUGCUGGCGUAAUGGUUGUAAGCGACCCGUCUUGAAACACGGACCAAGGAGUUGAAUAUCUAUGCGAGUGUUUGGGUGUUAAACCCCUACGCGUAAUGAAAGUGAACGGAGGUGAGAACCCUUUAGGGUGCAUCAUCGACCGAUCCUGAUGUCUUCGGAUGGAUUUGAGUAAGAGCAUAGCUAUUCUGACCCGAAAGAUGGUGAUCUAUACGUGAAUAGGGUGAAGCCAGAGGAAACUCUGGUGGAGGCUCGCAGCGGUUCUGACGUGCAAAUCGAUCGUCAAAUUUGCGUAUAGGGGCGAAAGACUAAUCGAACCAUCUAGUAGCUGGUUCCUGCCAUUUUCCCCCCC
Molecule: ribosomal RNA, 908 nt
Filed under: Mycopappus alni
Lineage: Eukaryota; Fungi; Ascomycota; Leotiomycetes; Helotiales; Sclerotiniaceae
Description: eukaryotic LSU rRNA
Rfam family: Eukaryotic large subunit ribosomal RNA
Source: RNAcentral